AUGGAGGCGGCGCGCGCGGGGGUGCGGGCGUCCCACGAGGGCACCGUGCCCUACGCCGAGUUCCUGCGCCUCUGCUGCGACGCCGUGGGCGCGGACGACGGGCCCUCCGUUGCGCGCGCGCUCGACGAGUCCGGAUCCUUCAUCGUGCUCGGCAGGACCGUCUUCCUCAGGCCCGAAAUGAUUACAUCAUUGGAGCACCGUUCUACAAAUGUGAUUAAUUUGGCAUGGGUAUGCGUACAGUCGGAAUGA
RNAcentral lists this ribosomal RNA (249 nucleotides) under Triticum aestivum (bread wheat). RNAcentral's name for it is "partial small subunit ribosomal RNA". The record is from RNAcentral. Lineage: Eukaryota; Viridiplantae; Streptophyta; Magnoliopsida; Poales; Poaceae.